Molecule: non-coding RNA, 224 nt
Organism: Pelobates cultripes (western spadefoot toad)
Lineage: Eukaryota; Metazoa; Chordata; Amphibia; Anura; Pelobatidae
Source: the annotation of a GenBank genome assembly
GCAUGAUCCACUGAGUUUGUGAAUGAAAAUUAGAAAAGGUUUAAAGGUGUUGCAUACAGACGAUGUAAGGGAUUCCAUCUAAUAUGGGAUUCUAACUAGACCCCAAUGUUCUGAGUUUAUGAUUGCCAUCCAAGUUGGACAACAUUGAUUUUCAUAAUGUAAAUGCCUUUGUAUCAAGUAGUUUGAAAAGUGAAUGGUUUGAGAUUCCUGCAAUUGCCAGCAUA